AGAGAUAGUUAGUUCUUUAUCUUUGCAAACUGCUAACUGCUACAUCAGAUAUAAUGUCAGUGAUUACUGAGGAGCCUGCAACUACGCGCUAUGGAACUAUAUCUCUAGAUGGAAAGUGGAGUACUGGACUGUAUGACUGUUGUGAGGACUGUGGCAUUUGCCUAUUUGGACUUUGCUUGCCAUCAUGCCUUGGGUGUUAUGUAGCUAAUAAAUAUGGAGAAAAUUGCUGUUUACCGGUGGUUCCUGGUGCCAUGACUGCAUUGCGUACUCACAUGCGUUUGUCGUAUGGCAUUAGAGGUACUGUGUGUAAUGAUGGACUCAUGAUGUGUUUCUGCGGUUGGUGUGAGAUCUGCAGAAUGGCUAGAGAACUAAAACAUCGAUCAUAGUAAUCAUCAAGACUGAAGACACAACAGGAAAGAUUUUCACGUCAGAAAAUGUUGCCCAACAAAGUGACAAAUUGCUGCCCCCCAUUCAUAAAAUUUUAAUAAAAAUCUAAAAAAAAAAAAAA
Pelobates fuscus (common spadefoot toad) is the source of this 508-nucleotide long non-coding RNA. RefSeq lists it as uncharacterized. The transcript has 5 exons. The record is from RefSeq and is a predicted model, not a curated record. NCBI's taxonomy places the organism in Eukaryota, Metazoa, Chordata, Amphibia, Anura, Pelobatidae.